Talaromyces islandicus is the source of this 78-nucleotide non-coding RNA. Lineage: Eukaryota; Fungi; Ascomycota; Eurotiomycetes; Eurotiales; Trichocomaceae. The record is from the annotation of a GenBank genome assembly.
GCCCGAUUAUUUCAAUUGGUUAGAAUGUCAGCCUUUUAGGGAAGCUGAAAGCUCCGGGUUCGAGCCCCGGAUCGGGCU